GAUGAAGAGCGUAGCGAAAUGCGAUAAGUAAUGCGAAUUGCAGAAUUUCCGUGAGUCAUCGAAUCUUUGAACGCACAUUGCGCCCACUGGUAUUCCGGUGGGCAUGCCUGUUCGAGCGUCAUUAUCCUCCCUCAAACCCCGGGUUUGGUGUUGGACCCAAGUUGUGUGAACAACUGGUCUCAAAGACAAUGACGGCGUCCGUGGGACCCUCGGUGCAACGAGCUUUUAGGAGCACGCAUCGAGUUGCAAGGACCUUCCGGGCCGGUCUCCUUUACCAUUUUACAAGGUUGACCUCGGAUCAGGUAGGAAUACCCGCUGAACUUAAGCAUAUCAAUAAGCGGAGGA
RNAcentral lists this unclassified non-coding RNA (345 nucleotides) under soil metagenome. RNAcentral's name for it is "partial contains 5.8S ribosomal RNA, internal transcribed spacer 2, and large subunit ribosomal RNA". The stretch from base 1 to 121 matches the Rfam family "5.8S ribosomal RNA", at positions 35 to 154 of the family's 154-position model. The record is from RNAcentral.